CUUUGACGUUAGCGGCGGACGGGUGAGUAACACGUGGGUAACCUACCUAUAAGACUGGGAUAACUUCGGGAAACCGGAGCUAAUACCGGAUAACAUUUGGAACCGCAUGGUUCUAAAGUGAAAGAUGGUUUUGCUAUCACUUAUAGAUGGACCCGCGCCGUAUUAGCUAGUUGGUAAGGUAACUGGCUUACCAAGGCGACGAUACUGUAGCCGACCUGAGAGGGUGAUCGGCCACACUGGAACUGAGACACGGUCCAGACUCCUACGGGAGGCAGCAGUAGGGAAUCUUCCGCAAUGGGCGAAAGCCUGACGGAGCAACGCCGCGUGAGUGAUGAAGGGUUUCGGCUCGUAAAACUCUGUUAUUAGGGAAGAACAAACGUGUAAGUAACUGUGCACGUCUUGACGGUACCUAAUCAGAAAGCCACGGCUAACUACGUGCCAGCAGCCGCGGUAAUACGUAGGUGGCAAGCGUUAUCCGGAAUUAUUGGGCGUAAAGCGCGCGUAGGCGGUUUCUUAAGUCUGAUGUGAAAGCCCACGGCUCAACCGUGGAGGGUCAUUGGAAACUGGGAAACUUGAGUGCAGAAGAGGAAAGUGGAAUUCCAUGUGUAGCGGUGAAAUGCGCAGAGAUAUGGAGGAACACCAGUGGCGAAGGCGACUUUCUGGUCUGUAACUGACGCUGAUGUGCGAAAGCGUGGGGAUCAAACAGGAUUAGAUACCCUGGUAGUCCACGCCGUAAACGAUGAGUGCUAAGUGUUAGGGGGUUUCCGCCCCUUAGUGCUGCAGCUAACGCAUUAAGCACUCCGCCUGGGGAGUACGACCGCAAGGUUGAAACUCAAAGGAAUUGACGGGGACCCGCACAAGCGGUGGAGCAUGUGGUUUAAUUCGAAGCAACGCGAAGAACCUUACCAAAUCUUGACAUCCUUUGAAAACUCUAGAGAUAGAGCCUUCCCCUUCGGGGGACAAAGUGACAGGUGGUGCAUGGUUGUCGUCAGCUCGUGUCGUGAGAUGUUGGGUUAAGUCCCGCAACGAGCGCAACCCUUAAGCUUAGUUGCCAUCAUUAAGUUGGGCACUCUAGGUUGACUGCCGGUGACAAACCGGAGGAAGGUGGGGAUGACGUCAAAUCAUCAUGCCCCUUAUGAUUUGGGCUACACACGUGCUACAAUGGACAAUACAAAGGGCAGCUAAACCGCGAGGUCAUGCAAAUCCCAUAAAGUUGUUCUCAGUUCGGAUUGUAGUCUGCAACUCGACUACAUGAAGCUGGAAUCGCUAG
RNAcentral lists this ribosomal RNA (1270 nucleotides) under Staphylococcus sp. RA90. Its description in RNAcentral is "bacterial SSU rRNA". It matches the Rfam family "Bacterial small subunit ribosomal RNA", at positions 84 to 1338 of the family's 1533-position model. Lineage: Bacteria; Bacillati; Bacillota; Bacilli; Caryophanales; Staphylococcaceae. The record is from RNAcentral.